Molecule: long non-coding RNA, 266 nt
Filed under: Mus musculus (house mouse)
Lineage: Eukaryota; Metazoa; Chordata; Mammalia; Rodentia; Muridae
Description: Mg8652
Source: RNAcentral
AUUCCGUGUCUUCCUCUGUUGAAUUGGAUUUAUCUUACCUUCUUUCACUAAGCCCCCGGGGCUCUUUAUCUCUCAGCUCAUCUGAAUUUUUUCCCCAGGUAAGGUCUCAUUCUUGCAGGGCCAGGUGGACACAAACUCAGCCAGGGUCAGUAACGGAAAGUAUUCAAACUGCACCCACUCCCCCUCAGUGGCAAGACUCCCGUGCUGCCUGGCUUCCAUGAAGAAUCUGGCACAGAAUACUGAACUUGCGGACAAAGCCCUGUGUG